This 266-nucleotide ribosomal RNA is filed under the name uncultured bacterium. Its description in RNAcentral is "partial 16S ribosomal RNA". It matches the Rfam family "Bacterial small subunit ribosomal RNA", at positions 335 to 594 of the family's 1533-position model. The record is from RNAcentral.
AUCCUACGGGGGGCAGCAGUAGGGAAUUUUCGUCAAUGGGCGCAAGCCUGAACGAGCAAUGCCGCGUGAACGAGGAAGGUCUUCGGAUCGUAAAGUUCUGUUGAAGGGGAAAAAGAGCGGAGAGAGGAAAUGGUCUCCGAUUGAUAUUACCCUUCGAGGAAGUCACGGCUAACUACGUGCCAGCAGCCGCGGUAAUACGUAGGUGGCGAGCGUUGUCCGGAUUUAUUGGGCGUAAAGCGAGUGCAGGCGGGUCAAUAAAGCUUGUG